RNAcentral lists this ribosomal RNA (1427 nucleotides) under metagenome. RNAcentral's name for it is "bacterial LSU rRNA". It matches the Rfam family "Bacterial large subunit ribosomal RNA", at positions 1522 to 2925 of the family's 2925-position model. The record is from RNAcentral.
GGGCUGGUUUUCCAGGCAAAUCCGGAAAAUCAAGGCUGAGGCGUGAUGACGAGGCACUACGGUGCUGAAGCAACAAAUGCCCUGCUUCCAGGAAAAGCCUCUAAGCAUCAGGUAACAUCAAAUCGUACCCCAAACCGACACAGGUGGUCAGGUAGAGAAUACCAAGGCGCUUGAGAGAACUCGGGUGAAGGAACUAGGCAAAAUGGUGCCGUAACUUCGGGAGAAGGCACGCUGAUAUGUAGGUGAAGCGACUUGCUCGUGGAGCUGAAAUCAGUCGAAGAUACCAGCUGGCUGCAACUGUUUAUUAAAAACACAGCACUGUGCAAACACGAAAGUGGACGUAUACGGUGUGACGCCUCCCCGGUGCCGGAAGGUUAAUUGAUGGGGUUAGCGCAAGCGAAGCUCUUGAUCGAAGCCCCGGUAAACGGCGGCCGUAACUAUAACGGUCCUAAGGUAGCGAAAUUCCUUGUCGGGUAAGUUCCGGCCUGCACGAAUGGCGUAAUGAUGGCCAGGCUGUCUCCACCCGAGACUCAGUGAAAUUGAACUCGCUGUGAAGAUGCAGUGUACCCGCGGCAAGACGGAAAGACCCCGUGAACCUUUACUAUAGCUUGACACUGAACAUUGAGCCUUGAUGUGUAGGAUAGGUGGGAGGCUUUGAAGUGUGGACGCCAGUCUGCAUGGAGCCGACCUUGAAAUACCACCCUUUAAUGUUUGAUGUUCUAACGUUGACCCGUAAUCCGGGUUGCGGACAGUGUCUGGUGGGUAGUUUGACUGGGGCGGUCUCCUCCUAAAGAGUAACGGAGGAGCACGAAGGUUGGCUAAUCCUGGUCGGACAUCAGGAGGUUAGUGCAAUGGCAUAAGCCAGCUUGACUGCGAGCGUGACGGCGCGAGCAGGUGCGAAAGCAGGUCAUAGUGAUCCGGUGGUUCUGAAUGGAAGGGCCAUCGCUCAACGGAUAAAAGGUACUCCGGGAUAACAGGCUGAUACCGCCCAAGAGUUCAUAUCGACGGCGGUGUUUGGCACCUCGAUGUCGGCUCAUCACAUCCUGGGGCUGAAGUAGGUCCCAAGGGUAUGGCUGUUCGCCAUUUAAAGUGGUACGCGAGCUGGGUUUAGAACGUCGUGAGACAGUUCGGUCCCUAUCUGCCGUGGGCGCUGGAGAACUGAGGGGGGCUGCUCCUAGUACGAGAGGACCGGAGUGGACGCAUCACUGGUGUUCGGGUUGUCAUGCCAAUGGCACUGCCCGGUAGCUAAAUGCGGAAGAGAUAAGUGCUGAAAGCAUCUAAGCACGAAACUUGCCCCGAGAUGAGUUCUCCCUGACUCCUUGAGAGUCCUGAAGGAACGUUGAAGACGACGACGUUGAUAGGCCGGGUGUGUAAGCGCAGCGAUGCGUUGAGCUAACCGGUACUAAUGAACCGUGAGGCUUAACCUC